Molecule: non-coding RNA, 252 nt
Filed under: Brevibacillus panacihumi
Lineage: Bacteria; Bacillati; Bacillota; Bacilli; Caryophanales; Paenibacillaceae
Description: T-box sequence
Rfam family: T-box leader
About the family: Uncharged tRNA acts as the effector for transcription antitermination of genes in the T-box leader family. T-boxes are found upstream of many aminoacyl-tRNA synthetase genes and some amino acid biosynthetic genes usually in Gram-positive bacteria. The anticodon of a specific tRNA base pairs to a specifier sequence within the T-box motif, and the NCCA acceptor tail of the tRNA base pairs to a conserved bulge in the T-box antiterminator hairpin.
Source: RNAcentral
GAGCAGACGAUGAAGGGAAGAGUAAGCCGACACUCCUUAUUGCAGAGAGCCGGGGUAGCUGCAAACCGGCAUAAGCGAGCAGGCUGAAGAUGGCCCCUGAGUUUCGCGGAUGAACAGGCAGGCUUUUUGGCUGCAGUAGUUUGCGACGCAUGCCCGCGUUAUGGGUGGAGUCAACGAUUGACUCCUCAAGUCCGUUCGCCGUGAGGGAACGGAGUAUUUGGGUGGUACCGCGAGAUCAAGCUCGCCCCAAUC